Molecule: RNA transcript, 5962 nt
Organism: Nothobranchius furzeri (turquoise killifish)
Lineage: Eukaryota; Metazoa; Chordata; Actinopteri; Cyprinodontiformes; Nothobranchiidae
Source: RefSeq, a predicted model, not a curated record
AACUGAGCAUGACUGCGUCCUUUAAUCAUGCAACAACACGAAACAAAGAUUAGCGUUUGGUUCUGCCUGCAGAAAAACACAAGUCUGUAACAAACAGGAAGGACUACAUUGCAUAACGUUGCCUUGCAGACACAAUGAAACCCGUCUACCUGAUUGUCUCAGUUCUCACAGCGACGGUUCUGACUAAAGGAUCUAUUGAAUGUAAUUUUGGCGACUCGACUGGGACUCGUCAGUGUCACGGCGCAGAAGGACAACAGCUGAUUUUCCAUCUUUCAAAUGAAACAAACACCGAGUUAAAGUUGAUCAAAGAUGCAAAAUACAGGAUUUUUAAGAAAACUGAAAAUGGGACAGUGACACUGGAUGAAAAGUACAUUAGACAGUUUGACCAAAUCCAGAAGGGAAAAUUAAAUUUAGGACAAGUCACGAACAGACACACUGGACAGUAUCUGCUGGAAGAAUAUGGAUUUGGAUCGGAUGACGGGAAAAUAAUGAAAAAAGUUGAAAUUAAUCUGACAAUUCAUGCUCAGGUACCAAAGCCAACCGUCUCUCAGGUGUGUUUUUCACCUGAACUGAUGGCAGUCACCUGCUCCUCCAAGGGAGAUGGAACAGAAAUCAGCAUGACAGUCGACGAUAACGUUCUGAUACAAAGCAAACACGGUCAGUCCCUCAGCAGCACCGGCCAAAACUCCAGAGCCUCGAGUGUUUCCAUCAACAUUCACGGACAGCUGACCGGAAAUCUUGUUUGCCAAGUUUGGAACAAUUACAGCAGAAAUAAAACAAUUUUUCCUCUGACGGCGUGCAAAGGUUCUGACAUUGUUAUACCUGUACUGGCUUGCAUUGUCACAACCUUUGUUGUCUUGGCUUUGGGACUGCUUGGAGUCAAACUGUGUAAAAGAACAAAACCCACUCCAGCAAAAAGUGGGGACGAUGAGGAAGGAAUUGUCUACUCAGAUGUGAAACUGAAGCAACCUCCACAGAGACCUCAGUCCAGCACAUGAAAACGCUAAUUAACCUUCUGACACAGUUUUCUAACAUCAAUCAUUUAUUUUUGGCGCUCGGUCAUUUUUCUUUUUUAGCAUGCAUCAAAAAUGUCGCUCCUUAAAAUAUUAGGAUUUUUUUUUUUGUUAUUUGUAAGAUAAUGAAUAGAAUUUAAAAACAGUGUUUAACAAUCUUUAUUUUAAUUUUAAAUAUACUAAAAACAAAAUUUCCUCCAUGGCAGCAAUCAAAGUUAAACAAUUAUAAUAUUUGUUUGAAAGUUUUUAUUUACAGUUAAUUUUUUUUCCUGUAACAAAUGUUAUUUUGUAGCAGAUAAAUAUAUAGUGUAUCAGAUUAGUGACAUCUAGAGGAAGAACGGUGUUAUUGCAGGAACUAAAUACAUGAAAACUGUACGUUUUUACCACUUUUUGACAACAGAGGGGAAGUAAAAUGUCCCACUUAUUUUCAUCAAAUUUAAAUUCCAUCUUUUUUGUUUAGAUGAUAAUCAGGUUUGUUUGUGCGUUGUGCAUUAUUAGGUUUAUCAUUUGUAAAGAUGGAUCAUGUUCUGUAUUUUAAUUAUGAAGAAACGUUCUGUUAAAAAUGUGACAGUUUUAGCAUUUAUCUAAACUUAUGAAGGGGAUGUUGUUGAAUGAAGUUGUUGGUACUGAUUCCCAGAAUGUCCACAGCCGACAGCUAAACUAUAGAAGACUGAAUCAGAACAUGGGUGUGCAGAGAAUAUAGAUGUCCAGACAGACUGGGUGCUGUGGAACAGGAAUUGUGUGUGUUUGUACAUGUGUAUGAUUCUUUGUGAAUAUGUGUUAAAGGUUGUGUGUGUGAAUGGGUCUUAGGUGUGUUUGUAAGUAUCACAAUGUGGUUGUGGGUGCUUGGUUAGGGUUAGGGUGAUGAGGAAGAGGCUGCCCCACAACAGCCCAGGCUAAUAGUAUCAGAGCAAUGUGGCCACAAAUUCCUGCCUGCAGCCCCAAGAGGAUGGACAUGAGCCCUGAGAGACCCCAGCCCAGCAUGCCAUGAUGCUGCUGAUGCAGGCCAACCAGGAGCGAGACGACCCUGACCCCAAAGGGUCCACACCAGUGAGGAAUCCUCAUCUGCACCUUAUCUGGUUCAACCUCGAGCUCGCCUUACCACCAUGGGGAGAAGAGCUUUCAGAUGCUCUGCUCCGCGGCUCUGGAACUCACUUCCCUCUGCCAUUAGAAAUACGGACUCUUUUCCAUUAUUCAAGGCACACCUCAAAACCCACUUAUUCAAACAAGUUUAUUCCCUUUAGACCUAGACUUUAGAAUGUUUCGCAUUUUGAUUGUAACGUGAUGAAGGAACCAUUUCUCAGGGUUAUUAUCCUCUUACAACUGUUCCCUUUUGACACAGUGCCAGAGUGCAUGAAACAGCCUCAAGGUCAUGCAUUCGCUUCUAAACUGUUUACAUCCCAGCAAUGAAGACAGAAGAACGAAGAAUGAACUCUUCUCUUUUAAUUAAUCAAAGAACUCUGUUUUAAUAAGCUAAUCCAUCAAAGUGUUAGUCAAUAACACUUUAAUGUGACCGACCAGUGAAUUCAAAAUAUUGAUUACUUUAUUAUGAUCCUGUAGAAAUAAUAAGUACUGUGACUUUAAGGAUUCCAACAGGACUCAUUUCACGUAGUGUUAAAAAGACAUAACACAUUCCUAUCACUGAUCCAAUCAAAUUCUUACAGAUCUGACGGAGGCGUGCUUCUGAUGGUGUUUGGUCAUUUUCAUUCGACAAUAAACCAUAACAUCCGAGGUAUAAAACUAUGCCACGUCAGCUCUAAUGCCAGUUCAAAGCAUUCCAGAGUGAGUGUUGGAGUGGCCAACCUUUAACCUAUAACUUUUCAACCGAAAGAACCAACGACAAGCUGAAAAAUCCAGUCGCUAUAACAACCAGCAGCAACAACAGCUCCUUUCAGAAUACAAGCUCCACCGACCCAGGCUUGGGUCUGACCAGACGCCAAUAAAAGUAUUGUGUGCCGGAAGUAACUCGAGACGGGUCUGAUCGGAACUGAGGUUUCAUCUACCAGCUCGGCUCCCAGAGAGGGUUCACUGGACCUCGAUAUUCCUGUUAUACAGAGGACUUCCACCAAAGACAAAGGUAGACCGACAUGAUGGUGUCUCAUACUGUUUCUGAAACUAACCAAAGCUUAAUUCAAAACAACAUCCUCAGUUCCCGUCAGAACUAAUUGCUUCUUCGGAUUUGCUGGUUCUGAUUACAUUACACGUCAUCCAUUCACCGCCUCAUCCAUUUUAGUUACACUAUACAUUUAGUUUUAAAGUCAGUCUAGUUUAAUUUGUUAGUAAUAAAAUUCUUAACUUUUAAGCCUGACUCUCUCUAUUCUGUGUCUCUGAGUGAAUACAUAACGGUUACCUAAUCUCUGCAAUAAAAAGAUUCAAUCUUCUGGUAACCCUCGAUCCGUAAGGUGGAUUCUAUAUUUCCUAUGGAAUCCCACGCCUUAUGGCUCAUUAAUUAAAAAUGCAAUAACCUCUCAUUUCAUUACAUGAUGUAUCUUAUUUGUUCUUAUUGCUCUAUCAACCUCUGUUAUUUUUAUUGUUUUUAUCUUUGUUUAAUUGUAAGGUGACCUUGGGUUUGAGAAAGGCGCCCUCAAAUAAAAUGUAUUAUUAUAUUAUUAUAAUAAAAUAAAUAUCACACAUUGGACAUUCAGAAGCACAAUAAUGCACUGCCUGACUAAAAAAAAAGUUGCUACCAAAAAUACAAAAAGGUCACAUUCUAAUAUUUCGUGGGGUUAAGGUCUAGGCUCUGUGUGAAAAUGGCGUCUCAUGCUCCCCGAACCACUCUUUCACUAUUUGAGCCCGAUGAAUCCUGGCAUUGCCAUCUUGGAAUAUACCUGUGUCAUCAGGGAAGAUGGCAUAACCUGGUCAUUCAGUAUAUUCAGGUAGUUAGCUGACCUCAUUCUUGGAGCGCAUUCUGUUGCUGAACCCAGACCUGACCAACUGCAGCAACCCCAGCAUAGCACUGCCCCCACAGGCUUGUACAGUAAGCACUAGGCAUGAUGGGUGCAUCACUUCAUCUGCCUCUCUUCUUACCCUGAUGCAGCCAUCACUCUGGAACAGGGUCCAUCUGGACUCAUCAGACCAGUUUUUAAUAAUGCUUUGAACAGAUCUAACUAUUUGGGGCAGCAGUAGCUCAACAGGUUGAGUGGGAUGUCCAGUAAUUGGAAGGUUGCAGGUGCGAUCCCGGCCCCGGACAGAGAAUUCUGCUGUUGUGUCUUUGGGCAAGUGGUGGCCGGAGGGACCGGUGGUGCCUGUGCUUGGCAGCCUCGCCUCUGUCAGUGCGCCCCAGGGCACCUGUGGCUACAUCGUGGUUCUUCCCACCAGUGUGUGAAUGUGUGUGUGAAUGGAUGAAUGAUGCACUGUAGUGUAAAGAGCUUUGGAGACCUUACUCUGAGAGGCGCUAUACAAGUGCGGGUCAUUUAUCAUUUAUAUUUGGUGGUUUAACCUCCCAAUCCAACCCCUUAAAGCUGAGUUUUAAGCAGGGAGGCAUUGGGUCCCAUUUUUAAAGUCUUUGGUAAGAUCUGAUUGGGAUUUGAACUUGACCUUCUUCUUCCGGCUCUUGGAGAGUACAGAUGCUUUUUUCCUCCUUUCCUCCCUAUCUUAUCCCCAAGGCUCUUUGUCUGUCUUUGGGUGUACGGCGCUUCUGCAUUUUUUCUGGAAACUGGAAAUUAUUAAAAAUGGACCUGGUCAGUUGGUCUCUCAACGCAAUUGACAACAUUUGUUCAAUGUUGAGAACGGGAGAAGGGGCUCCUGGAUGCCCCUAUGGGACAGAUCCAGUUGGGCAUAUCAUGGACUCCUGGAAACAGUGGAACUUGAUCUGCUUAUCUUAACUGUCUGUAGAGGAUUCUGAAGACGUCUGGAUAUUCGUGGUGUUGGUGUCAGGUUUACUGCUUUUUGGCCUGGGAGGUUAUCUGGCUUACCGAAUUAAAAUUAAUGAGCUGUCGAGGAAUAUUGGCUCAAUCCCGGAGCUCAGAGACGGAUUACACCGCGCUGUGAAUGCACAGGCUCAUAUAAUUGUUGAGAUGAGUCGUAAGCUUGGAACUUUGGCUGAGAUUCAGACUCUGGCACAGAAGGUGGAUUUCAUCAAGGAACGAGUUGACGAAUCAGCACAGAUUGGGAUGGAUUAAUUUACGCCAUUAUUGGAUUAAGAGGGGUUGAGGACCAACGGAAGACAGAGAGGAAAUUAUCUCUGUCUGGCCCCAAAACAAUUUCUUAUCUGAAUCUGGUGCCCUUGAGCCUGUGAAGCUGAACCGAUUACUCCCCCUCACAGGAAAUGUGGAAUGCUGCUGUCGCCAUGGCAACUCUGUCUCCCUAUCCCAGCCUGGGCGGGACUGGGACCGAAGGCCGUUGAAUCGUUCCAGGAGUCACUGUGCUCUCUAAAACCUAAUGACCUCCUCCCCCUGUCCAAACGGAGGUGACGAGCGCUGCUUAUCGUGGCUGCAUGCAUUGAUGUGUGGAGAGUCCCCAACCCUACCACCCCACCUAGUGGACACUUAUGUUGUGUGAUGUCUGAAGUCUUCUGCAUUUCUGUCUGAGGUGUUUUUUGCAUAGCAAAGCUGCCCCCCCUGUGGAGGGUAACUCUGAAGUCCCUUUUUUUACUCAUCCUGACUCAAUCCUCAUGUAAACUCUCUAUUAAGGUAGCGCAACUCGGGUUGCGAAUGACAACAGUCACCAAUUCUUGUCAUGUGUCUAUGCCUGUGUAUGUAUGUCUUAUCUCAGAAUUGUGUGUACUGAAACUCUAAUUUCUCUCUGGGAUUAAUAAAGUAUCUUUGAAUUUGAAUUGAAUUCGAUUUGAAUCUCCCAGUCCCAGGGUAGACACUCUACCACUAGGCCACUGAGAAAAAGUGGGUGGAGCCAAUUUUCUGUGAUAAUCAUCACACAACAAUUCUGGAUAUAGCUAUUUUCAGAGAUGUAGAGAUCCAAAUCUCACUUCUUUUGGCAUCAUCGAUCUGACA